GCUCUUCUCUCUCACUUAGGAUAUAAGGUCCUGUCACUUCUGGAGAUGCCUAUAAGUGAUGCAACUUCUACAGACCAGGCAGAUGUUUACAUCCACAUCACCUUCAUUAAGAAAUGGGACAUCUGUGCUGGUGCAGCACUCCUCAACGCACUGGGAGGCAGCAUGACGACCCUAAAGGGAGAAGACAUCGACUACAGUGAUACACUUCUGAACAAAGGAGGACUCGUGGCCAGUGUCGGUGUGGACCAUAAGGCUGUGCUGGAGAGAUUACCAAACUGGGACCCUGAAAAGCACUGAGAAACACAAAGCCAUUAGUAGACGGGUCACAGUGUGGUAAAGACAACAGAAGUCUGCAUGAUUUCAUUUCCUGGUGACACCAAAACCUCCACACUUCAGAUGGAUCUGAGUCACUGUCCCUUACAGAGACCACAAAGACUGUGUGGCUAACCAGGCUCUGAAUACACACUUCUAGACAUGUGUACAUAGUAAGGAGAAAUGCUCCAUCAUGCAUAAACACACAAACACAUGCUCACAGUGAUUACAAGAGAACUACUACCUGAGUCCCUUCACCUUCAGAAAACAGGAUGAAUCCACUGUGAAGAAAUCUGAGGAGCACAAUGCUGAACUGUACAACAAAAUCAUGGAGUGACCGAUCUCCUCGUCUUUCAUCUUCUUAAAGCCCGACUCCAUCACAAGCUCUUCCAGAGGAAAUACAAGAACAAGGUACACCGUGUUUUUCCAGACAGGCUGAGAGUCAUUGAACAUCUGCCUCGUUUGGUCUCAGCAGCCGGUGUAACAUGGUCUUACAUGCAAAAAAAAAAACAAUAACCCUGUUUACCAGCACCAGUAAAACCACCUCAGUUUACUCCACACCGUCUUCAGGUUUUCAUCUGAAGUGGAUUAGAGAUUCAUGUUUUUAUUAAUUUAACUUUGACAGAUCAAUAAACUGAAUCUUUGUCAUUAUUCAGAUAAAACCAGCUCAAACUAGAACGCUUUCCCAACAACCCAUUUUUACCUGAAAGCAGUGCCUGCUGGGUAAGGAGAUCAACGUGCUCUGACCAAACCAGAAGUUCGUUAGAGGGAAACACAAACAUUGAUCUGCUUACAUUGUCUUAAGUUUAUCCAACUCAAAAAACUACAAUAUGAAGUUCUAAAGAAGUAGUCCAAAGUGUUUGGCAAGAGGUCUGCUUUACUAAAGUACAUUUUUUUCUUAACUAUGUUGCGGCCAUGUGAAGCAAAAUAAAAAGUGUUUCUUCAAAAUUAAUAAAAGUGAAAUGAUUAAAGGGAAGAUGAAGGAAAAGUCCACUUUUUAAAUCUUUCAUCUCUCUUCCCUGAGACUCAUUUUUGUCCCGUUUAAAACUUUUCAGUGUGUGGAGUUGCUGUGAUUGGUGCUUCCCUUACUCUUCUGUUAUAAGAGGUCGUAAACACACAGACAUGAUAACUCCAGGGUGAGCCCAUCACAAUCAGGUGAAGUCAGAAUCAUUCAAAACCCGUCUGUCUGAUGGUGGUUUUCUUCUGUAACGUGUUGUAAAUAUGACGUUCACAGCUGUCACCUCUCUGCUACUGACAGUGCUCAUGGUUAAUGAUGGAGAAAGAGCUAACAUGUUCACUGAUGUGCUCCUGGAUCUGCCAUCUCAUAACUCAUGACUUUAUAACUAAACUCUAAGUCUGCCAAUGUGCAGUACAGGAGAAGGUAAAGAAGUGUGUAUCGUCAGUGUUUCAUCACCAAGAAGACGACAGAAGUUUAAAAGACUUACAGCUUGGAAAGAGUCACAUUGAAGACUGUCUGCAAUGAGAAACUCCCUGAGACUAUUUCUGUGAAUGAAUAUUGUGCCGUGCUUCAUCCAGACUCAUUUAAACUUUGGUACCAGUCACAUUUUGUUGGAGAAGAAGUGUACUUGUAUUUGCAUGGUUUUGAAUAUUCAUUCGUCUUUGCUCCUCUUAACAUUUCUCAAUCUGUGCGGAUGAUAUUCCUCGCUUGAUUAACCUGUUUCUGUCUUUUUAAAGGAACAUUUCCACAGACAACAGCUGUUAUGACUACAGUCUGGGUUUUCUUGUUGAUGUGAAGCCAUGUCUGAUGGUAAAGAAAAAACUACACCAGCAUAAUGUGAGCUCUUGUCCCUGUAUGAAGAAGAUACAGUUAAAGUGUGUUUCAUGUUUGCUUUUGUGUCAUUGAUAAGUGUGUGUAUAGAUAUAUAAAAACCUGUGUGUGUGGUGUCUGGAUGACAUGCUGCUGGUAUACUGAGAGCACAGCUUGACUCAGAGGAAGUACAGGUAACAGCGUUCAGUCUGCUGGAGGUUGGAUCUCUGUGUGCUACAUUUCUGUUUGAUGAUCUGAGUGCCUUUAAUCUGAACAACAUAGUCACAGGAUGGUAGUGUUAGCCACAACACUUAGCAGGGUUUCUGGUGUUGCUAUGGUAACACAGUGAUUGCUAUGCAGGGGUAUAACUGAUGUUUUGUUAUGAUACAUAAAAGAGAACGGGUGGAGGGAAAGAAAACAGCAUUUUAUCACGUAGGUGUCUGUUUAUAGGUCUAAUGCAUGUGUGAAGAAGUUCUAUAAAACGUUUUGUUUCUCAACAGAAAGAUGUGUGAAGUCUCAAACAUUUUCUAUAGCUUGAUGCUAAAUCUGUGAGGUACUUUUUUUAAUAUACAUCGUUGUCAACCGGUGGUGCAAAGAUGGUCGGCCUGACAACAGAUUCAGGUCAGGUUGUUAAAGGGGGCACAAUGUAUUCUUCUCUUCACCCCUGGAGACUGAUGUUUCUGCAAUAAAACCGAAUAAUGAGCAGAGUCAA
Long non-coding RNA from Labrus mixtus (cuckoo wrasse), 2792 nucleotides. RefSeq lists it as uncharacterized. The transcript is spliced from 2 exons. The record is from RefSeq and is a predicted model, not a curated record. Lineage: Eukaryota; Metazoa; Chordata; Actinopteri; Labriformes; Labridae.